RNAcentral lists this ribosomal RNA (253 nucleotides) under uncultured bacterium. RNAcentral describes it as "partial 16S ribosomal RNA". It matches the Rfam family "Bacterial small subunit ribosomal RNA", at positions 524 to 776 of the family's 1533-position model. The record is from RNAcentral.
GACAGAGGAUGCAAGCGUUAUCCGGAAUGAUUGGGCGUAAGGCGUCUGUAGGUGGCUUUUUAAGUUCGCCGUCAAAUCCCAGGGCUCAACCCUGGACAGGUGGUGGAAACUACCAAGCUAGAGUACGGUAGGGGCAGAGGGAAUUUCCGGUGGAGCGAUGAAAUGCGUAGAGAUCGGAAGGAACACCCAAGGCGAAAGCACUCUGCUGGGCCGACACUGACACUGAGAGACGAAAGCUAGGGGAGCAAAUGGG